This 490-nucleotide ribosomal RNA is filed under the name uncultured bacterium. RNAcentral describes it as "partial 16S ribosomal RNA". It matches the Rfam family "Bacterial small subunit ribosomal RNA", at positions 30 to 507 of the family's 1533-position model. The record is from RNAcentral.
AUUGAACGCUGGCGGCAUGCCUAACACAUGCAAGUCGAACGGUAACAGGAAGAAGCUUGCUUCUUUGCUGACGAGUGGCGGACGGGUGAGUAAUGUCUGGGAAACUGCCUGAUGGAGGGGGAUAACUACUGGAAACGGUAGCUAAUACCGCAUAACGUCGCAAGACCAAAGAGGGGGACCUUCGGGCCUCUUGCCAUCGGAUGUGCCCAGAUGGGAUUAGCUAGUAGGUGGGGUAACGGCUCACCUAGGCGACGAUCCCUAGCUGGUCUGAGAGGAUGACCAGCCACACUGGAACUGAGACACGGUCCAGACUCCUACGGGAGGCAGCAGUGGGGAAUAUUGCACAAUGGGCGCAAGCCUGAUGCAGCCAUGCCGCGUGUAUGAAGAAGGCCUUCGGGUUGUAAAGUACUUUCAGCGGGGAGGAAGGGAGUAAAGUUAAUACCUUGGCUCAUUGACGUUACCCGCAGAAGAAGCACCGGCUAACUCCGUG